GCCGGUGUGAUGGAAUUGGCAGACGUGACGGACUCAAAAUCCGUUGGUAGCGAUACCGUGUGGGUUCGAGUCCCACCACCGGCACCA
This 87-nucleotide transfer RNA is filed under the name Clostridia bacterium. Its description in RNAcentral is "tRNA-Leu". It matches the Rfam family "tRNA". From Rfam's summary of the family: Transfer RNA (tRNA) molecules are approximately 80 nucleotides in length. Their secondary structure includes four short double-helical elements and three loops (D, anti-codon, and T loops). The record is from RNAcentral. RNAcentral also lists the same sequence under 4 other names. Lineage: Bacteria; Bacillati; Bacillota; Clostridia.